CCUACGGGAGGCAGCAGUGGGGAAUUUUGGACAAUGGGCGCAAGCCUGAUCCAGCAAUGCCGCGUGAGUGAAGAAGGCCUUCGGGUUGUAAAGCUCUUUUGUCAGGGAAGAAACGGUGGGAGCUAAUAUCUCCUGCUAAUGACGGUACCUGAAGAAUAAGCACCGGCUAACUACGUGCCAGCAGCCGCGGUAAUACGUAGGGUGCAAGCGUUAAUCGGAAUUACUGGGCGUAAAGCGUGCGCAGGCGGUUUUGUAAGACUGUCGUGAAAUCCCCGGGCUCAACCUGGGAAUGGCGAUGGUGACUGCAAGGCUAGAGUUUGGCAGAGGGGGGUAGAAUUCCACGUGUAGCAGUGAAAUGCGUAGAUAUGUGGAGGAACACCGAUGGCGAAGGCAGCCCCCUGGGUCAAAACUGACGCUCAUGCACGAAAGCGUGGGGAGACAACAGAGUAGAUACCUACGUAGUCCGACCGACCCUAACCGACUAGUCUGCUAGUUGUUCGGGUUCGUUAUUAGUACGUUGGUACGCGAGCUACGCGUGAGUAGACCGCCGUGGGNGGUACGGUCGCGAGAAGUUAAACUACAAGUAGUAAGUUAGUACGGCGUGAGACGUUGCCGACGGACGACGACGAGGGAGGAGG
Molecule: ribosomal RNA, 638 nt
Filed under: uncultured bacterium
Lineage: Bacteria
Description: bacterial SSU rRNA
Rfam family: Bacterial small subunit ribosomal RNA (bases 1-549)
Source: RNAcentral